This 95-nucleotide ribosomal RNA is filed under the name Bacillus cereus. RNAcentral's name for it is "partial 16S ribosomal RNA". It matches the Rfam family "Bacterial small subunit ribosomal RNA", at positions 1 to 92 of the family's 1533-position model. RNAcentral also lists the same sequence under 10 other names. The record is from RNAcentral. Lineage: Bacteria; Bacillati; Bacillota; Bacilli; Caryophanales; Bacillaceae.
UUAUUGGAGAGUUUGAUCCUGGCUCAGGAUGAACGCUGGCGGCGUGCCUAAUACAUGCAAGUCGAGCGAAUGGAUUAAGAGCUUGCUCUUAUGAA